RNAcentral lists this small RNA (503 nucleotides) under Pan troglodytes (chimpanzee). Its description in RNAcentral is "processed transcript". The record is from RNAcentral. Lineage: Eukaryota; Metazoa; Chordata; Mammalia; Primates; Hominidae.
GGGAAGUCAGCGGCGCCUGCGCGGACGCCUCAGCCUCAGGAUGCGCGCGCAGCGCUCUCCGCCCAGCGGAAGUUUUCGCUGGGCAACUGAGAAGGUCGCUGUCAAGAUGGAGUUUCCAACCCAGUAAAUCCAAGGGCCAGACCGUGACCUCAUAAAGCAUGAUCUCCUUCUGUCCAGACUGUGGCAAAAGUAUCCAAGCAGCAUUCAAAUUCUGCCCCUACUGUGGAAAUUCUUUGCCUGUAGAGGAGCAUGUAGGGUCCCAGACCUUUGUCAGUCCACGUGUGUCAUCCUUCCAAGGCUCAAAGAGAGGGCUGAACUCCAGUUUUGAAAUCUCUCCUAAGAAAGUGAAAUGGUCCAGCACCGUCACCUCUCCCCGAUUAUCCCUCUUCUCAGAUGGUGACAGUUCUGAGUCUGAAGAUCCUCUGAGUUCCUCUGAGAGAUCCAAAGCCGAUACUGGUCUCUAGGAAGCUUCUCUUGAGUGCCAUAGGCUCGCAUCCAGACCU